UACGAAGGGUGCAAGCGUUGUUCGGAAUUACUGGGCGUAAAGGGCGCGUAGGCUGGUUUGUAAGUCUAAUGUGAAAUCCCCGGGCUUAACCCGGGACGUGCAUUGGAGACUGCAGAUCUUGAAUGCUUGAGAGGGUGGUAGAAUUCCAGGAGUAGAAGUGAAAUUCGUAGAUAUCUGGAGGAACACCGGAGGCGAAGGCGGCCACCUGGCAAGACAUUGACGCUGAGGCGCGAAAGUGCGGGGAGCAAACAGG
RNAcentral lists this ribosomal RNA (253 nucleotides) under uncultured bacterium. RNAcentral's name for it is "partial 16S ribosomal RNA". It matches the Rfam family "Bacterial small subunit ribosomal RNA", at positions 524 to 776 of the family's 1533-position model. The record is from RNAcentral.